GAAUGGUUGGACAAAGAAGAAACUGUCUCUUGUGUAAUUAUUGAAUUUAACUUUUAAGUGAAAAGGCUUAAAUAUUCUAGAGGGACGAUAAGACCCUAUAAAGCUUUAUAAAUUUAAAGAUUUUAUAUAUUUUUUAUAUAAAAAUAAAUUCUAUGAGGUUUAUUUGGUUGGGGCGACAAUGAUAUAAUUAUAAUAACUGUUAUUAAAUUAAACAAUUAUAUUUGUGUUAUUAAAAUAAUAGAUCCUUUAUAAAGAUUUAAAGAUCAAGUUACUUUAGGGAUAACAGCGUUAUUUUUCCUGAGAGUCCUUAUCAAAGGAAAAGUUUGCGACCUCGAUGUUGAAUUAAAAUGUCUUUAUAGUGCAGCAGCUAUAAAAGAAGGUCUGUUCGACCUUUAAUAUUUUACAUGAUUUGAGUUCAGACCGGCGGGAGCCAGGUCGGUUUCUAUCUUCUAGGUAUAAAGGAGUGCUUUAGUACGAAAGGAUUAAGUAGUCAAAAUUUUUUUUAAUAAUGAAAU
This 515-nucleotide ribosomal RNA is filed under the name Charybdis anisodon. RNAcentral's name for it is "partial 16S ribosomal RNA". The stretch from base 77 to 453 matches the Rfam family "Bacterial large subunit ribosomal RNA", at positions 2072 to 2648 of the family's 2925-position model. The record is from RNAcentral. Lineage: Eukaryota; Metazoa; Arthropoda; Malacostraca; Decapoda; Portunidae.